UACAAAACAUGAAAACAACUGCCCUCAGCUGCUCCUGGGGUCUCUGUAUUCCGACUGCAGCUGUGGAGAAUUGUUGUUGAAUUCCAUUCUCCAUGUUGCUCUAAAAGCAUUUCAAAGAGGUUCAGAGAAAGCCGGGUGCACUUUGGAGAUUUUAGAAGAAGAAAAAAGAAAGAUGAAGAAGGAGCAGACACUUCUGUUUGCCAUAUACCUGCUUCUCAAGAACUACAUGAAGAAAACCUGGCUCACACAGAAAUGUACGAAGAGAGAGACAGGGGUAUGUAUUUUAAUAGUCUUUUCAGAUAACUAUAGAUAUUCUCCUUUGACAUGACAUCAAAACUCAAUAGUGCUGAUUUAAUAUUACACUAAAACUCAACAAGUGCUAAUGAAGAAUCUGAAACCAUUAUCAAUUAACUUUUCAGAUUCUGUUACUAUUAAAAUCCAUUAAUGUGUCUUGUAUUCUGAAUGAAACUUUUACCCAUGCAUAAUUUUACAACCUCAUGCCUUGGUCACUUGGAAAAUAGUGAUUUAUUGAGUUAUGCAGAUCUUCCAAAUGAACACUGGAAAACUCCACUCCACGUUUACAAGAAACUAAGAGUAGAAAGGGAGACAACAUCUCAGUAUUAUUAUGAAAGUAAUAGUUUUGACCUUGGGGACCUCCAACGGUCCCUGGACCACACUCUGAGAAUUGCUGGGUUAACCCAUCACAUAAAGUAAUAGCUGUGGAUGUGUAAUUUAGACAAUUGUCAGCUCUCUCAGGUGAAUGACUUACCCAUUUAGGUAACACAUACUACUACUCCUUCCAAACCUUCAAAGCGAGAAUGGGUAGUGAGUGUGGGUCUGGAUAGAGGACUAGGGCCAAUAAAACUCUCUAUGAACAACUCAUCCCUGCCCCUACCAACAUCCUGGAAAUUUUUCAAUACAAGCAAUGCUGUGCUGGUAAAUGUUUAACAGCCAGCUCUCCAGGUAAAAAACAAAACAAAACCAAAAAAAGGCCCCAGUUUUUAGCAUUUGCCAAUUCUUGUUGUGUAAAAGCUUCCACUGUGGCUGAUUUCAAACUACCAACAGGACAUCACUGAACAAGUUGCUGGGACAAGAUGUGCACAAUUGAUUCUCACGAGCUGAUGUGAGCCAGCUCCAGCACACCACUGAGAAAGAGACAUAGACCCACCUCUCAGUGGGAGCAGUAUCAAAGAAUUUGCAAUCAUUUUGUUUUAGCUUCUGCAUUCUACCCUUUGGCCAUAGAUAAUUUACAUUCCUGUGACACACGAGAGGCAGUCUCGUCCCAUUACAGUAUUAGACGUAGGCUCAGGUCCAGUAUCUAGUCAUCUAGACCAGGCCCAGGUGUGGAUGAGGCUCCUCAAGUGUUAUUGUCAGAUAGAGUUUCUGUUGCUUUUGAAGAACUGUGAGCUAAAAAGACAAAUUAUUUGCCUCUAUCAUAACCAACAAACUAUAUACCCUACAUGCAGCGGUGAAACCAAGCUAGGAUCACUAACUAGACACUCAUUCAAAAAGCAUGGGAAUGCAAGGCACAGUGCA
This is a non-coding RNA of Equus caballus (horse), 1536 nucleotides long. The record is from RefSeq and is a predicted model, not a curated record. Lineage: Eukaryota; Metazoa; Chordata; Mammalia; Perissodactyla; Equidae.